This 423-nucleotide ribosomal RNA is filed under the name uncultured microorganism. Its description in RNAcentral is "bacterial SSU rRNA". It matches the Rfam family "Bacterial small subunit ribosomal RNA", at positions 9 to 431 of the family's 1533-position model. The record is from RNAcentral.
GAGUUUGAUCAUGGCUCAGAUUGAACGCUGGCGGCAUGCCUUACACAUGCAAGUCGAACGGCAGCAUGAUCUAGCUUGCUAGAUUGAUGGCGAGUGGCGAACGGGUGAGUAAUACAUCGGAACGUGCCCUGUAGUGGGGAUAACUAGUCGAAAGAUUAGCUAAUACCGCAUACGACCUGAGGGUGAAAGUGGGGGACCGCAAGGCCUCAUGCUAUAGGAGCGGCCGAUGUCUGAUUAGCUAGUUGGUGGGGUAAAGGCCCACCAAGGCGACGAUCAGUAGCUGGUCUGAGAGGACGAUCAGCCACACUGGGACUGAGACACGGCCCAGACUCCUACGGGAGGCAGCAGUGGGGAAUUUUGGACAAUGGGCGAAAGCCUGAUCCAGCAAUGCCGCGUGUGUGAAGAAGGCCUCGGUUGUAAGUC